GACGAAAUAGCUCAGUUGGGAGAGCGUUAGACUGAAGAACUAUAAGUCCCUGGUUCGAUCCCGGGUUUCGGCA
RNAcentral lists this transfer RNA (73 nucleotides) under Daphnia pulex (common water flea). It matches the Rfam family "tRNA". Rfam says of the family: Transfer RNA (tRNA) molecules are approximately 80 nucleotides in length. Lineage: Eukaryota; Metazoa; Arthropoda; Branchiopoda; Diplostraca; Daphniidae. The record is from Rfam by way of RNAcentral.